GACGAACGCUGGCGGCGUGCUUAACACAUGCAAGUCGAACGGAAAGGCCCUGCUUUUGUGGGGUGCUCGAGUGGCGAACGGGUGAGUAACACGUGAGUAACCUGCCCUUGACUUUGGGAUAACUUCAGGAAACUGGGGCUAAUACCGGAUAGGAGCUCCUGCUGCAUGGUGGGGGUUGGAAAGUUUCGGCGGUUGGGGAUGGACUCGCGGCUUAUCAGCUUGUUGGUGGGGUAGUUGCUUACCAAGGUUUUGACGGGUAGCCGGCCUGAGAGGGUUACCGGCCACAUUGGGACUGAGAUACGGCCCAGAAUCCUACGGGAGGCAGCAGUGGGGAAUAUUGCACAAUGGGGGGAAGCCUGAUGCAGAAACGCCGCGUGCGGGAUGACGGCCUUCGGGUUGUAAACCGCUUUCGCCUGUGACGAAGCGUGAGUGACGGUAAUGGGUAAAGAAGCACCGGCUAACUACGUG
RNAcentral lists this ribosomal RNA (468 nucleotides) under uncultured bacterium. RNAcentral describes it as "partial 16S ribosomal RNA". It matches the Rfam family "Bacterial small subunit ribosomal RNA", at positions 28 to 507 of the family's 1533-position model. The record is from RNAcentral.